Long non-coding RNA from Bos taurus (domestic cattle), 1496 nucleotides. The record is from Ensembl. NCBI's taxonomy places the organism in Eukaryota, Metazoa, Chordata, Mammalia, Artiodactyla, Bovidae.
GGGGCCUUGGAACUGGCCAGCUUACUAGGGCAGAGAAGAAGCUGGGAGGUUACCCCUGGGCUCAGGGCGGAUUCCAGCAAUACUGGACGGGACAUUAGUUUUAUAGCCCUGUGACGAAUCUAGGGACAGAGUACCUGGAGCUGUUUUCUCAGACAUGCACUGGCCCAGGGCCUGCCCCUGGUUUAGCCUUGAACAGAGGAGCCAACAGAGGGGGAAGCACCCACUUCCUGCCCAGAGAGGGGCACGUUUCUGUGGGGCGAUUCUGCACUGUCCUUUUCUGCCUUGUCACAGCAUGUGGGAUCUAGUUCCCUGACCAGGGAGCAUGGAGUCUUAGCUGCUGGACCACCAGGGAGGUCCCUGCUCUCUGUGACCUUGACUGACGUUACUUGGCACCUUCCAACUUGGUGAAUCAACUUGAUGGUGAUCGCAGCCAUGAAAUUAAAAUACACUUACUCCUUGGAAGGAAAGUUAUGACCAACCCAGACAGCAUAUUAAAAGGCAGAGACAUCAGUUUGUCAACAAAGGUCCAUCUAGUCAAGGCUAUAGUUUUUCAAGUGGUCAUAUAUGGAUGUGAGAGUUGGACUGUGAAGAAAGCUGAGGGCUGAAGAAUUGAUGCUUUUGAACUGUGGUGUUGGAUAAGACUCUUGAGAGUCCCUUGGACUGCAAGGAGAUCCAACCAGUCCAUCCUAAAGGAGAUCAGUCCUGGGUAUUCAUUGGAAGGACUGGUGUUGAAGCUGAAACUCCAAUCCUUUGGCCACCUGAUGUGAAGAGCUGACUCAUUUGAAAAGACCCUGAUGCUGGGAAAGAUUGAGGGCAAGAGGAGAAGGGGAUGACAGAGGAUGAGAUGGUUGGAUGGCAUCAUCGACUCGAUGGACAUGGGUUUGGGUAGACUCUGGAAGUUGGUGAUGGACAGGGAGGCCUGGAGUGCUGUGGUUCAUGGGGUCACAAAGAGUCGGACACAACUGAGCGACCGAACUGAACUGAGGCUUAGGGCCACUAACAAUGCAACUUGCAGGCCCUGCCUCCAUCCUUGUCUCUUAAGAGGUUUGAGACAUAUUGUAAAUACCUUGAGCCACUGGUAGCUAAAGAGAAUGAAACUCUGGAACCACCACUUGGUUGCUGGCUAUUGCCCAUCACAAUCAGAUUUCUCUCAAAACAGGGAUUCACUUGAGUCUUAUUUAAAGCCAGUGGGCAUUCUGUUUGUCACUGCCAUCACAUUUAAUGGAGCUAGAGAGAUGUUUGUAAUGCAGCGACUCUGGUCAUUUUGAGUAUAAUGCAGUUUUUGAGGAUUGGAUUAAAGCUAGUCUCUCUCCAGGAAAGUUCACAAAAUGCAUGGAUAUUCGGAAUGCUCCCUACAGCUUCCUGCUCUUCCCUGAUUAUUAAAGCACAUCCUGUGACCUCAGGUUAAGAAUCAUUAAUAAAGUAUUAUAAUUGUAUUUGUUAAUUGGUCCUCAAUAGAUUUGGGGAAAAUAAUUUUAAUGACAUAGGUAAAUGCU